Molecule: long non-coding RNA, 1060 nt
Filed under: Felis catus (domestic cat)
Lineage: Eukaryota; Metazoa; Chordata; Mammalia; Carnivora; Felidae
Description: lncRNA (ENSFCAG00000041766.2)
Source: RNAcentral
AUGGGCUGCAUGAUUCUCUUGGAAAGAACACUGUACUCUUUAUACGAAAUCACCUCCAGGCACUUUUCACAUUUCCACGAAAAUAGCCAGCCAAAGAAAGACAAGAGAAUAUGGACUUAUUUGGGAAGAUGGAUGACAUAUUAUACAAUUUUAUGAAUUCCUCAAAAAGGUUAAACAUCCACUAUGUGCCAUGGACUAUGUUAAGUGGUAAGUGUAGGGCAGCUGUUACAGACUUCAUUACUGUUCACUAAUUCAUCUUCCUUUCCCUGUCAUGGAGGAGAGUAUACUUCACCAUUCUAUUGAUUUUGCACUUGUCCCUGUGAUUGCUUUGACCAAUGAAAUGAGGGCGGGAACAACUGUGUGACCAUUCUUAAAUAAGGCUUAGGAAUCCACCAUCCAUUUAUUUCCUCUUGCUUUAUUGCUUUUUAAAACAUUUUUAAUGUUUAAUUAAUUAAUUAAUUAAUUAAUUAAUUAAUUUUGAGAGAGACAGAGCAUGAGCAGGGGAGGGUCAGAGAGAGAGAGGGAGACAUGGAGUCCCAAGCAGGCUCCAGGCUCUGAACUGUUAGCACACAGCCUGACAGGGGGCUUGAACUCACAGGACAGUAGAUCAUGACCUGAGCUUCAGUCAGACGCUUAACCAACUGAGCCACCCAGGCACCUCUCUUCUUGCAUUAUUGUCAUUUUCCAUUAAACUAUACUGCAUGAUGUCAGUGUUUCUUCAGCCUUGGUUCCAGAAUGAGCAAUAUGUGGAGCAGAUACAAACUUAUGCAGCCUAGAGUUAUGCUUAGCUAAGCCCAGCUGGGUCCAGUUGGGUCAAGCUGUAGUCAACACAAAAUGGGGAAGAAGAAAUAGAUUUGUUUUUUUAAGACUCUAGGUUUGGUUGGUUGUUAAUGCGUCAAAAGUUAAUGCAGCAGUGAAUAAGAUACCGUGUCUAGUGGAGAAGAAAGACAUUAAAUAGGUAGUUACAAAUGUUCUUUGUAUUUUGAGGAAAUGGAGUGUUUCCACAAGUAUGUAUAGCAGGUUAUUACAUUAUUCUGGGGGAAGAGAAAAAUCUGGGUUG